RNAcentral lists this transfer RNA (77 nucleotides) under Patescibacteria group bacterium. RNAcentral's name for it is "tRNA-Asp". It matches the Rfam family "tRNA". From Rfam's summary of the family: Transfer RNA (tRNA) molecules are approximately 80 nucleotides in length. Their secondary structure includes four short double-helical elements and three loops (D, anti-codon, and T loops). Further hydrogen bonds mediate the characteristic L-shaped molecular structure. tRNAs have two regions of fundamental functional importance: the anti-codon, which is responsible for specific mRNA codon recognition, and the 3' end, to which the tRNAs corresponding amino acid is attached (by aminoacyl-tRNA synthetases). tRNAs cope with the degeneracy of the genetic code in two manners: having more than one tRNA (with a specific anti-codon) for a particular amino acid; and 'wobble' base-pairing, i.e. permitting non-standard base-pairing at the 3rd anti-codon position. RNAcentral also lists the same sequence under 1 other name. The record is from RNAcentral.
GGAGUGGUAGCUCAGUUGGUUAGAGCGCCUGCCUGUCACGCAGGAGGUCGCGGGUUCGAGUCCCGUCCAUUCCGCCA